AACGAACGCUGGCGGCAUGCCUAACACAUGCAAGUCGAACGAGACCUUCGGGUCUAGUGGCGCACGGGUGCGUAACGCGUGGGAACCUGCCCUUAGGUUCGGAAUAACUCCCCGAAAGGGGUGCUAAUACCGGAUAAUGUCUUCGGACCAAAGAUGUAUCGCCUUUGGAUGGGCCCGCGUUGGAUUAGCUAGUUGGUAGGGUAAAAGCCUACCAAGGCGAGGAUCCAUAGCUGGUCUGAGAGGAUGAUAAGCCACACUGGGACUGAGACACGGCCCAGACUCCUACGGGAAGCAGCAGUGGGGAAUAUUGGACGAGGGGCGAAGGCCUGAUCCAGCAAUGCCGCGUGAGUGAUGAAGGCCUUAGGGUUGUAAAGCUCUUUUACCCGGGAUGAUAAUGACAGUACCGGGAGAAUAAGCUCCGGCUAACUCCGUG
Molecule: ribosomal RNA, 433 nt
Filed under: uncultured bacterium
Lineage: Bacteria
Description: partial 16S ribosomal RNA
Rfam family: Bacterial small subunit ribosomal RNA
Source: RNAcentral